AGUGAACGCUGGCGAUAGGCCUAACACAUGCAAGUCGAACGGCAGCACAGUAAGAGCUUGCUCUUACGGGUGGCGAGUGGCGGGCGGGUGAGGAAUACAUCGGAAUCUACUUUUUCGUGGGGGAUAACGUAGGGAAACUUACGCUAAUACCGCAUACGACCUACGGGUGAAAGCAGGGGAUCUUCGGACCUUGCGCGAUUGAAUGAGCCGAUGUCGGAUUAGCUAGUUGGCGGGGUAAAGGCCCACCAAGGCGACGAUCCGUAGCUGGUCUGAGAGGAUGAUCAGCCACACUGGAACUGAGACACGGUCCAGACUCCUACGGGAGGCAGCAGUGGGGAAUAUUGGACAAUGGGCGCAAGCCUGAUCCAGCCAUACCGCGUGAGUGAAGAAGGCCUUCGGGUUGUAAAGCCCUUUUGUUGGGAAAGAAAAGCAGCAGGUUAAUACCCCGCUGUUCUGACGGUACCCAAAGAAUAAGCACCGGCUAACUUCGUG
RNAcentral lists this ribosomal RNA (492 nucleotides) under uncultured bacterium. RNAcentral describes it as "partial 16S ribosomal RNA". It matches the Rfam family "Bacterial small subunit ribosomal RNA", at positions 29 to 507 of the family's 1533-position model. The record is from RNAcentral.